RNAcentral lists this ribosomal RNA (484 nucleotides) under uncultured bacterium. RNAcentral's name for it is "partial 16S ribosomal RNA". It matches the Rfam family "Bacterial small subunit ribosomal RNA", at positions 30 to 507 of the family's 1533-position model. The record is from RNAcentral.
AUUGAACGCUGGCGGCAUGCUUUACACAUGCAAGUCGAACGGCAGCGCGGGCUUCGGCCUGGCGGCGAGUGGCGAACGGGUGAGUAAUACAUCGGAACGUGCCCAGUAGUGGGGGAUAGCUCGGCGAAAGCCGGAUUAAUACCGCAUACGACCUGAGGGUGAAAGCGGGGAAUCUUCGGACCUCGCGCUAUUGGAGCGGCCGAUGGCAGAUUAGCUAGUUGGUGGGGUAAAGGCCUACCAAGGCGACGAUCUGUAGCUGGUCUGAGAGGACGACCAGCCACACUGGGACUGAGACACGGCCCAGACUCCUACGGGAGGCAGCAGUGGGGAAUUUUGGACAAUGGGCGAAAUCCUGAUCCAGCAAUGCCGCGUGUGUGAUGAAGGCCUUCGGGUUGUAAAGCACUUUUGGCGGGAACGAAAAGGACUGUGCCAAUACCACGGUUCGAUGACGGUACCCGCAGAAUAAGCACCGGCUAACUACGUG